GACGAACGCUGGCGGCGUGCUUAACACAUGCAAGUCGAACGGAAAGGCCCUGCUUUUGUGGGUUGCUCGAGUGGCGAACGGGUGUGUAACACGUGAGUAACCUGCCCUUGACUUUGGGAUAACUUCAGGAAACUGGGGCUAAUACCGGAUAGGAGCUCCUGCUGCAUGGUGUGGGUUGGAAAGUUUCGGCGGUUGUGGAUGGACUCGCGGCUUAUCAGCUUGUUGGUGGGGUAGUUGCUUACCAAGGCUUUGACGGGUAGCCGGCCUGAGAGGGUGACCGGCCACAUUGGGACUGAGAUACGGACCAGACUCCUACGGGAGGCAGCAGUGGGGAAUAUUGCACAAUGGGCGGAAGCCUGAUGCAGCAACGCCGCGUGCGGGAUGACGGCCUUCGGGUUGUAAACCGCUUUCGCCUGUGACGAAGAGUGAGUGACGGUAAUGGGUAAAGAAGCAACGGCUAACUACGUG
This 468-nucleotide ribosomal RNA is filed under the name uncultured bacterium. Its description in RNAcentral is "partial 16S ribosomal RNA". It matches the Rfam family "Bacterial small subunit ribosomal RNA", at positions 28 to 507 of the family's 1533-position model. The record is from RNAcentral.